This 1439-nucleotide long non-coding RNA is filed under the name Bos indicus x Bos taurus (hybrid cattle). RNAcentral's name for it is "lncRNA (ENSBIXG00000023228.1)". Lineage: Eukaryota; Metazoa; Chordata; Mammalia; Artiodactyla; Bovidae. The record is from RNAcentral.
GAGAAGAAAAAGAUUUAGUAGUGCAAUCAACAAAAAAUAUCUCCCUCACUCUAUUGCAUCUAUUUGAACAUGCUGGACAGGAUGACCUGGGAGGUUAUAGCAAUCUUUCCUACAGCCUCACACGAAUAUAAACAGUAGAUGCCUGUGAAGGACUCUUGCACAUACACAUAUUCCCAAAGGCACUUAUUAUACCUGGUUGCAGCUGAAUACAGAUAUUGACAGAGACGUCUGAGAGGAGAAACCAAGAUCGUUUAUGACUAUGUCCUCAUUAGGAUCUCAAAUUUCACGGGCACCACAAGGCUACCCCAGCUCAGAUUUAAUCAGCAGCAGACACCCAUCAGAAGGAAGGAAGGGCCAUCCCUGCCCCCUGAUGUCUAUUUGCUCCAAGAGCCAGGCCUGCAGAUAUGAAGAUGAGUCACCGUUCCAGCAGUGUCAGUGAUGUGACUGAUACUACAUGUGUCAGAAACCAUAUUCACAGUUUUACUAGUACACUUUGAAUCAGGAAUCCAGCUGGGAAAUAAUUCCCAAACCUAUGUCGCCGGACAUUGUUAAAUACGCUCCCAUGAUCAGAUUCUUCAUCAACAGGAGUCUCCAUUCUGAAAUAUCAUGAUAUCCCUUAAACAUGGAAUCCAAAAAGAAAUGAAACAAAUGAACGAGACCGAAACAGACUCAGAUGUAGAGAACCAGCUUAUGGUUGCCAGGGGGAAGGGCUGGGGGAAGAGACAGUUAGGGAAUUGGGGAUAGACAUGUGUGCACUGCUAUAUUUAAUAUGGAUAACCAACAAGGACCUAUUGUCCAGAGCACAGGGAACUCUGUUCAAUGUUAUAUGGCAGCCUGGAGGGGAGGGUUGUUUGGGAGAGAAUUGAUAGCUGUGUAUGUAUGACUGAGUCCCUUUGCUGUUCAUUUGAAACAAUCACAGCAUUGUUAAUCAUCUGUAUUCCAAUAUAAAAUAAUUUUUUUUUAAAAAGACUUGAAAAAAAAAUAGGAAUCUGUAUUCUCUAUGCCCCUAAGUCCAUAAACCACACUGUCUACAUGAAAUAGAGUGAGUUUUCAUCAGAGUUCCAUUUUUGGGUGGGCUUUUCAUCCUGAGCCUUAUCUGGCAGGACUUUAUCAGUUGAAGAGGGACAUUCAUUUUGUCAUGCUAUGUGCCAAUCUAAAACAUCACUGCACAUAAAACCAUAUACAAUGUAUUCCGUGCUUCCAGAGAGAGAUAAGGAAACUGCAGUUUGGAGAGACGGUCAUGUGCUAGCACUUGACGGAAAUGGAGGAGAAUCAAGAUUCGGGACAAAGAGUCCCCUUUAGCUUGGUGAUGCGUGGACUUGACUGAUAAGUCAAGAGCACAGGACAGAAGAGCUGAGAGGGGACACUGGGCACGUUUGCCAGAAGGAGGAGCAAGGCAAGUGUUGACUCAGAUGUGGACUGAAGACACUGAGUCCAGC